RNAcentral lists this ribosomal RNA (479 nucleotides) under uncultured bacterium. RNAcentral's name for it is "partial 16S ribosomal RNA". It matches the Rfam family "Bacterial small subunit ribosomal RNA", at positions 28 to 507 of the family's 1533-position model. The record is from RNAcentral.
GAUGAACGCUGGCGGCGUGCUUAACACAUGCAAGUCGAACGAAGCACCUUGAUUUGAUUCUUCGGAUGAAGAUCUUGGUGACUGAGUGGCGGACGGGUGAGUAACGCGUGGGUAACCUGCCUCAUACAGGGGGAUAACAGUUAGAAAUGACUGCUAAUACCGCAUACGACCACAGCACCGCAUGGUGCAGGGGUAAAAACUCCGGUGGUAUGAGAUGGAACCGCGUCUGAUUAGGUAGUUGGUGGGGUAACGGCCUACCAAGCCGACGAUCAGUAGCCGACCUGAGAGGGUGACCGGACACAGUGGGACUGGGACACAGUCCAAACUCCUACGGGAAGCAGCAGUGGGGAAUAUUGCACAAUGGGGGAAACCCUGAUGCAGCGACGCCGCGUGAGCUAUGAAGUAUUUCGGGAUGUAAAGCUCUAUCAGCAGGGAAGAAAAUGACGGUACCUGACGAAGAAGCACCGGCUAAAUACGUG